This 797-nucleotide long non-coding RNA is filed under the name Equus caballus (horse). Its description in RNAcentral is "lncRNA (ENSECAG00000048373.1)". The record is from RNAcentral. Lineage: Eukaryota; Metazoa; Chordata; Mammalia; Perissodactyla; Equidae.
GAGGUGAUUAAGCAAUGUUUCAAAAAGAUCGACCAGGCAGUCCAAUGACAGGUGCCUGGGAAAGGCAAGUGAUGGGAUUUAUGGAGCCCAGGAAGAAGGCCACACUGGUCACCAGGUGUGGAGUGACAGGGGCCUGGAUUCAGGUGGUGGCAGUGGGCGUGGAAAUGAGGGAUAAAUGAAGAGCCAUUUAGAAGGAAAAAUCAAGAGGAUAUGGCAACUGACUCAUAAUAAUAACUAACACUUACUCAUUUCCACAAAUAUUACUUAAGUGCCUUCUUUGCACCAGGCAUACUUCCAGGCCCUGGGUAUAUAGCAACGAACGUGACAGACAAGGCUGCGUCCCUCAUGGAAUUCACAUGCCAACGGAAGAGAAAUAUAAUAAAUAAAUACACAAUAAAUAGAUAUACAAUAAACAAAGAAAUGAAAUGUAACUUCAGAUCACCACUUGACGCAAGCUGACGAUGGCGGAACAAGAGGAGAAGCAGGGAGACCACUUAGGAGGUCAUUACAACAAUCCAGGUGGACGAUGCUGGUAGCUUGGACUAGUGGCAAAGGUGAUGAGAAGCAGUAGGAUUUGGGAGGCGUUUUGAAGGUAGAAUGAACAGGACUUGGUGAUGGGCUGUACGGAGUAUAUGGAGUCAAGAAUGAGAGAAAUCAAGAAGGCAUCAGAUUCCAGAAAACCUAUAUUGGGUGUCUGCCUGGACCUCUUGGAACAGCCCCACUUGGAGCCCUGAGCUGCCACAUAUGAAAUCUGACUGCUCUGACAUUGCCAUGCUGGACAGCCACGUACAGGCACU